Long non-coding RNA from Oncorhynchus tshawytscha (Chinook salmon), 126 nucleotides. RefSeq lists it as uncharacterized. The record is from RefSeq and is a predicted model, not a curated record. NCBI's taxonomy places the organism in Eukaryota, Metazoa, Chordata, Actinopteri, Salmoniformes, Salmonidae. The transcript has 2 exons.
ACCCAAUCAGAAGAUGUCAUAACAAAGUCCAGAGUGAGACACCCAAUCAGAAGAUGCCAUAACAAAGUCCUGACAUGAGACACCCAAUCAGAAGAUGCCAUAACAAAGUCCUGACCUGAGACACCC